ACGUGUAACAACUGAUAGACUACAGCCUAUAAAAAUUAUCCUUCGCUUUCAGGUGCUGCUGGUGAUGUCAUCAUGUCACGGGGGCACGGCUAUGAAGGUGAAGCUGUUGUCCGUUGCUGAAUGUUGAUCUGGAGUAAGAGGACAGUUUUCUGUUUACUAGAUUGAGAGGAUGAAGAUCUUGCGGCUGCUACUGGACUGAGAAGAGAGGCUGGAAGCUAUGGAAGAAAAUAUCACCGUCGAUAGAUUGUGCUCGCGGUGCUGGUCCAGAGGAGAGGAAGAGAUUGUUGCUUGGUUGUUGUGUCUGCCGUGACCAGAAAAGAAGCCUUAGAUGUCACUGGAGCUGUCGCUGCCCCUGGCUGGAGAUGUUUGCUACUGCAGAUGCUUCAAGGGAGAAGAAAUAAGGAAGCAAGGCUGCUGAGGCUUAUAACUCCUACUACUGGUCAGGUUGAGUUAAUGGCUGCUCACGACUGUAACAGAGGAGAUGUGGCUGCUGCUCACGGCUGAGACUAUGUUGCUCAAGGCUGCAGCAGAGGUGAUGAAGUUGCUGCUGGACACUAAUGAAAACUUCAGCUGCACUGUGGCUUCCAUUAGACAAAGAAGAUGCAUAAGUAAUCAUGGAAUGCUGAUGGUUCUGCUGCUGCUGCAACUAUCGGUGUGAAGCCUAGCUAUGGUGGCUGCCAUUGAACAGAGAAGAUGCAGAAGUAAUCGUUGUUGUGGUGGUGCUCACCAUCAAUGAAGAUCAGUCUUGAAUCAAGGAAUGAAUGGGAGGAGGACCACUUGUUCUUCUUUUCAAGUCCAGUCACGAUCUUCCUUUGCUUUAAAAGAGAGAGUUCAUUUUUUCAUCACCUGAAAGGCUAGUCACGUACGGGUUUCUUGUUGUUUAAGGGAAUGGGUCAUGUGUUU
Molecule: long non-coding RNA, 903 nt
Filed under: Populus trichocarpa (black cottonwood)
Lineage: Eukaryota; Viridiplantae; Streptophyta; Magnoliopsida; Malpighiales; Salicaceae
Description: long non-coding RNA (PTRI_LNC004378)
Source: RNAcentral